Long non-coding RNA from Salvia splendens (bonfire salvia), 411 nucleotides. RefSeq lists it as uncharacterized. The record is from RefSeq and is a predicted model, not a curated record. Lineage: Eukaryota; Viridiplantae; Streptophyta; Magnoliopsida; Lamiales; Lamiaceae. The transcript has 2 exons.
GCAGAACUCAUAUAAUUUGCCUUUGGUGGAGAAGAUAAUGAGAGCAACCUCGGCGUCGCAGAGGACAGAGAGUUCGUAGGCCUUUUUGAGCAAUCCAUUUCUUCUCUUGGCGAAGGGGCUCCCACUCGAUUGCUGGAUCUGACGGCGGCGACACCGUCUGCACCGCCUUCCUCGCCGUCACCCCCGGGAGGAGCGGGAUGUUUGAGGCUAUCAAAUACAUUCCGAAACAACUCCGCAGACGAAUCGCAUCGCGAUAUUCCACCAAUUCGACUGUCCACACCGAUUGCGGGCGCUGAUAUUCGCCUUGGAUCACGCUCUCCAUGUCCUCAUCCGCGGUUAGGUAUUUGUCGUGGUAGCUCACCAUCCUGAUUGAUUUUGCCUUCCGGAAUAUAUCCAUUUCUUCUUUUACUA